Molecule: ribosomal RNA, 200 nt
Filed under: uncultured bacterium
Lineage: Bacteria
Description: partial 16S ribosomal RNA
Rfam family: Bacterial small subunit ribosomal RNA
Source: RNAcentral
GACGAACGCUGGCGGCGUGCUUAACACAUGCAAGUCGAACGAUGAACCACUUCGGUGGGGAUUAGUGGCGAACGGGUGAGUAACACGUGGGCAAUCUGCCCUUCACUCUGGGACAAGCCCUGGAAACGGGGUCUAAUACCGGAUAACACUUCUGCUCUCAUGGGCAGGGUUAAAGCUCCGGCGGUGAAGGAUGAGCCCGC